UACAGAAGGUGCGAGCGUUAAUCGGAAUUACUGGGCGUAAAGGGUGCGUAGGUGGUUUUGUAAGUUAGGUGUGGAAGUCCCGGGCUUAACCUGGGGAUUGCGCCUAAUACUGCAAAGCUAGAGUACUGUAGAGGAAAGUGGAAUUUCCAGUGUAGCGGUGAAAUGCGUAGAUAUUGGAAGGAACAUCAGUGGCGAAGGCGACUUUCUGGACAGAUACUGACACUGAGGCACGAAAGCGUGGGGAGCAAACAGG
This 253-nucleotide ribosomal RNA is filed under the name uncultured bacterium. RNAcentral describes it as "partial 16S ribosomal RNA". It matches the Rfam family "Bacterial small subunit ribosomal RNA", at positions 524 to 776 of the family's 1533-position model. The record is from RNAcentral.